CCUACGGGGGGCAGCAGUGAGGAAUCUUGGUCAAUGGACGAGAGUCUGAACCAGCCAAGUAGCGUGAAUGAUGACUGCCCUAUGGGUUGUAAACUUCUUUUAUAUGGGAAUAAAACGUUCCACGUGUGGGAUUUUGUAUGUACUUUACGAAUAAGGAUCGGCUAACUCCGUGCCAGCAGCCGCGGUAAUACGGAGGAUCCGUGCGUUAUCCGGAUUGAUUGGGUUUAAAGGGAGCGUAGAUGGGUUGUUAAGUUAGUUGUGAAAGUUUGCGGCUCAACCGUGGAAUUGCAAUGGAUACUGGCAGCCUUGAGUGCAGUUGAGGAAGGCGGAAUUCGAGGUGUAGCGGUGAAAUGCGUAGAGAUCACGAAGAACUCCGAUUGCGAAGGCAGCCUACUAAACUGCCACUGACAUUGACGCGCGAAAGUGUGGGUAUCAAACAGGAUUAGAUACCCGAGUAGUC
This 460-nucleotide ribosomal RNA is filed under the name uncultured bacterium. RNAcentral describes it as "partial 16S ribosomal RNA". It matches the Rfam family "Bacterial small subunit ribosomal RNA", at positions 338 to 795 of the family's 1533-position model. The record is from RNAcentral.